AUUGAACGCUGGCGGCAUGCUUUACACAUGCAAGUCGAACGGUAACAGGCCGCAAGGUGCUGACGAGUGGCGAACGGGUGAGUAAUGCAUCGGAACGUGCCCAGUCGUGGGGGAUAACUACUCGAAAGAGUAGCUAAUACCGCAUACGAUCUAUGGGUGAAAGCGGGGGACCGUAAGGCCUCGCGCGAUUGGAGCGGCCGAUGUCAGAUUAGGUAGUUGGUGGGGUAAAGGCUCACCAAGCCAACGAUCUGUAGCUGGUCUGAGAGGACGACCAGCCACACUGGGAAUGAGAAAAGGGCCAGAAUCCCAAGGGAGGCCGGAGGGGGGAAAUUUGGACAAUUGGCGCAAGCCUGAUCCAGCAAUGCCGCGUGCAGGAAGAAGGCCUUCGGGUUGUAAACUGCUUUUGUACGGAACGAAACGGCUCUGGUUAAUACCCGGGGCUAAUGACGGUACCGUAAGAAUAAGCACCGGCUAACUACGUG
Molecule: ribosomal RNA, 482 nt
Filed under: uncultured bacterium
Lineage: Bacteria
Description: partial 16S ribosomal RNA
Rfam family: Bacterial small subunit ribosomal RNA
Source: RNAcentral